Molecule: ribosomal RNA, 457 nt
Filed under: uncultured bacterium
Lineage: Bacteria
Description: bacterial SSU rRNA
Rfam family: Bacterial small subunit ribosomal RNA
Source: RNAcentral
UACGGAAGGCAGCAGUGGGGAAUAUUGCACAAUGGGCGAAAGCCUGAUGCAGCUAUGCCGCGUGUAUGAAGAAGGCCUUAGGGUUGUAAAGUACUUUCAUCGGGGAGGAAAAAACAAAACUAAUAAUUUUAUUUCUUGACGUUACCCGAAAAAGAAGCACCGGCUAACUCCGUGCCAGCAGCCGCGGUAAUACGGAGGGUGCUAGCGUUAAUCAGAAUUACUGGGCGUAAAGAGCACGUAGGUGGUUUUUUUAAGUCAGAUGUGAAAUCCCUGGGCUUAACCUGGAACUGCAUUUUGAAACUGAAAUACUAGAGUAUCGUAGAGGGAGGUAGAAUUCUAGGUGUAGCGGUGAAAUGCGUAGAUAUCUGGAGGAAUACCUGUGGCGAAAGCGGCCUCUAAACGAAUACUGACACUGAGGUGCGAAAGCGUGGGGAGCAAACAGGGAUUAGAUACCCGU